RNAcentral lists this ribosomal RNA (253 nucleotides) under uncultured bacterium. RNAcentral's name for it is "partial 16S ribosomal RNA". It matches the Rfam family "Bacterial small subunit ribosomal RNA", at positions 524 to 776 of the family's 1533-position model. The record is from RNAcentral.
UACGGAGGGUGCAAGCGUUAUCCGGAUUCACUGGGUUUAAAGGGUGCGUAGGCGGGCAGGUAAGUCAGUGGUGAAAUCUCCGAGCUUAACUCGGAAACUGCCGUUGAUACUAUUUGUCUUGAAUAUUGUGGAGGUAAGCGGAAUAUGUCAUGUAGCGGUGAAAUGCUUAGAUAUGACAUAGAACACCAAUUGCGAAGGCAGCUUACUACACAACGAUUGACGCUGAGGCACGAAAGCGUGGGGAGCAAACAGG